UCCCGUGUGGCUCAAUCGGUUUAGAGCGUCUGACUCUUACGCAGAUCAAUCAGAAGGUUGCGAGUUCGAGUCUCGCCAUGGAGG
Transfer RNA from Schizosaccharomyces japonicus yFS275, 84 nucleotides. It matches the Rfam family "tRNA". Rfam says of the family: Transfer RNA (tRNA) molecules are approximately 80 nucleotides in length. Their secondary structure includes four short double-helical elements and three loops (D, anti-codon, and T loops). Further hydrogen bonds mediate the characteristic L-shaped molecular structure. tRNAs have two regions of fundamental functional importance: the anti-codon, which is responsible for specific mRNA codon recognition, and the 3' end, to which the tRNAs corresponding amino acid is attached (by aminoacyl-tRNA synthetases). tRNAs cope with the degeneracy of the genetic code in two manners: having more than one tRNA (with a specific anti-codon) for a particular amino acid; and 'wobble' base-pairing, i.e. permitting non-standard base-pairing at the 3rd anti-codon position. NCBI's taxonomy places the organism in Eukaryota, Fungi, Ascomycota, Schizosaccharomycetes, Schizosaccharomycetales, Schizosaccharomycetaceae. The record is from Rfam.